GUCUAAAUUAUCUUUAAUUCUCAAGGUAAUACAACACUGGUAAUCAAUUUAUGAGAAAAACAAGUGAAAUACCAUGUAUUUUGUGAUUUGAAAUAAAGUAACUUUAGAUCUGAUUCAGAAUUUGGAACAAGUAGUCAGGGAGAACACUCCCAAAACUUAAACCAGUUUACAGAGUGAUUUUAUUUUCAGGUGAAUGGCUUAGGAAGCACAGGAGAAAUAACUCAAAAGUUUUAACAACCACCAAGUACAGAAGUUGCUUUUAAACUCUUAAAAAAACAAAUUUUACUGACAGUGAGGUAGUUCCAGGUCAUCUGUUUACAUUUCAUCUCUAAUACAUUUUUCUUAGUACAACUGGCUUUGAAACUCAAAUGCAGUUUCAAAAAUAUACAAUCCUAGACUAAUCCAAAGUCUGGAUUUUAUGGCUGCACUUUUCCAUUAAUCAACAAGCUUCCCAGUGAUGCCUGUGAAAGCUGGUGGCUGUUACCACAUAUCACUAGAAAAAAAAUAAAAUACCAACCCUUUGAUCUGAUAAAUUUUCUAUUUUAUAGUCAGUAAUAAGUUAAGAAUGUAUGAAGAAACAUUUUAUACAAGCUUUCCUAAUAUUUCUAAGGUUACCUUCCAUCAUAAGUU
RNAcentral lists this long non-coding RNA (630 nucleotides) under Bos taurus (domestic cattle). RNAcentral's name for it is "long non-coding RNA NONBTAT022833". The record is from RNAcentral. Lineage: Eukaryota; Metazoa; Chordata; Mammalia; Artiodactyla; Bovidae.